Molecule: long non-coding RNA, 1144 nt
Filed under: Musa acuminata (dwarf banana)
Lineage: Eukaryota; Viridiplantae; Streptophyta; Magnoliopsida; Zingiberales; Musaceae
Description: long non-coding RNA (MACU_LNC005056)
Source: RNAcentral
UUUUGUUGAAGAGAUUUCAAUUUUUUGCAUCUGUAGCUUCUUUUCUGGAUUUGGAGUUUCAUUUCUUUUCAUAUGAAGAUUUCCUUUUUAUGUCAGCAAUACAAUUGUUGUGAAUUACAACUAAAACCAUCUACUACAGCUAUUAUACUCUUGUGCUGAGCUUACUUUUCUUUUACUUGGAUGUGUUUCUAAUUUGAUGCAUCAAUUGUGGACUUUACUUAUCUGCCAUGUGACGACAGUUUUUUUAUGUAUGCUUAUAUGUGAAUGCAACUUUUGUGUUUUGUAUUAAAAUAAUGUAUAUUAAUUUCCUACCUUAAAAAAUUAAACAAUCAGAUUAUGGUUCAAUUAACCACCAUCGAACUAUGAUGACUUUAGAGGAAGGUGGUUGUCACUAGAAAGUCAUUUACAAGAAAGUACAUUUUUAGAGUUGAAUCAUACCUGUAACCUCCCAAGAGCAUGUUUGUUAUUAGUGUAACCUCCCAAGAGCAUCUUCGUUAUUUUUUUUGUAUUGAUGAAUUUCAUGAUCGAGUUUAUUGAAAUGUGGCCUUCUUAAUUGUCAGUAUAUUGUAGUUGGACAUUUGGCUAUUGAUUCAUAAGGUUCUAGAACAUUUUAUCAUUAGAACAAAAGCUAAGUCUAUAAUGGACUAGUGCAGUUUCCAGAUUUUUCCAUUAUUAGUGUAGUUUCCAGAUCUUUAAUGCAUCAUGCUCUAGAAUACAUCAAAUAAGAAUGAACUGGGCGUUGAAGAGUGAUCUAGUUUCAUUCAUGCUCUCCAUAUGAAUUCACAGACUUCUGGAUUUGCAGUGAUGCUGUUUUGCUCAAAUAUUUUGUGGAUAUAGUAUCUUUAUUAUAUGGACAUACUUGCAUUUAUCUUAAAACCUUGGUUGCACUGUUAAAAUAUUACUUUGCUUUAGUAGUAGGGACGGAUGACCCUUCGUACAUGAGGCCAUGAUACCAUAAAAUUGUGCAAUAAAUUAUUUAAAUACAAGCAGGAAAUAUUCAUCAUUUUAUCCCUGCCAAAAGGUGUGAAACUUUUGAGAUUGGUCCAGAUUGUACAUUUUUGUUUUUGUGCACAAGUAGUGUGAGACUUGGCAGUAUGGUUUCCUUCACUUGGACAGGAUAUUUUUGUUGAAUCUCUCGUUAGCC